This 455-nucleotide ribosomal RNA is filed under the name Charterginus fulvus. Its description in RNAcentral is "partial large subunit ribosomal RNA". The stretch from base 330 to 455 matches the Rfam family "Bacterial large subunit ribosomal RNA", at positions 2473 to 2599 of the family's 2925-position model. The record is from RNAcentral. Lineage: Eukaryota; Metazoa; Arthropoda; Insecta; Hymenoptera; Vespidae.
AGUCGUUCUGCCCAUUGAUUUUUAAAGGCUGCGGUAUAUUAACUGUACAAAGGUAGCAAAAUAAAUAGUUUUUUAAUUGAAAACUUGAAUGAAAGAGUUAAUAAGAUAUAAAUUGUCUUAAUUAUAUAAUUUAAAUUAAAAGUAAAAAUGCUUUUAUUUUUUUAUAAGACGAUAAGACCCUAAGAAUUUUAUAAUUUUUAUUAUUUUAGUUAUUUGAAUAAAUAAUGAUUAUUUUAUUGGGAGGGUAAUUAAAUAACUUUAAUUAAAUUAAAUAUUUAUAAAUAAAUUUAAUGAUUAAUAUUAUAAUUAUAAGAAUUAAUUACCUUAGGGAUAACAGGGUAAUAAUUUUGGAGAGUUCAUAUUGAUAAAAUUGUUUACUACCUCGAUGUUGAAUUAAAAUAAAAAUUAAAUGAAGAAAUUUAAUUUUUUAGUCUGUUCGACUAUUAAAAUUUUAC